Molecule: ribosomal RNA, 486 nt
Filed under: uncultured bacterium
Lineage: Bacteria
Description: bacterial SSU rRNA
Rfam family: Bacterial small subunit ribosomal RNA
Source: RNAcentral
AGAGUUUGAUCCUGGCUCAGAAUCAACGCUGGCGGCGCGCUUAACACAUGCAAGUCGAACGAGAAAGUGGAGCAAUCCAUGAGUACAGUGGCGUACGGGUGAGUAACACGUGGGUAAUCUGCCUCUUAGUGUGGAAUAACCCUGGGAAACCGGGGCUAAUACCGCAUAAUCCCGAGAGGGGAAAGCAGCAAUGCGCUGAGAGAGGAGCCCGCGGCCGAUUAGCUAGUUGGUAGGGUAAAAGCCUACCAAGGCGAAGAUCGGUAGCCGGCCUGAGAGGGCACACGGCCACACUGGCACUGAAACACGGGCCAGACUCCUACGGGAGGCAGCAGUGGGGAAUCUUGCACAAUGGGGGCAACCCUGAUGCAGCGACGCCGCGUGAGCGAUGAAGUCCUUCGGGGCGUAAAGCUCUUUCGGCAGGGACGAUAAUGACGGUACCUGCAGAAGCAGCUGCGGCUAACUACGUGCCAGCCGCCGCGGUAAUAC